AAGGAUAUAACUCAGCGGUAGAGUGUCACAUUGAUGUAGUGGAAGUCAUUAGUUCGAGUUUGGUUAUUCCUA
RNAcentral lists this transfer RNA (72 nucleotides) under Gossypium arboreum. It matches the Rfam family "tRNA". Rfam says of the family: Transfer RNA (tRNA) molecules are approximately 80 nucleotides in length. Their secondary structure includes four short double-helical elements and three loops (D, anti-codon, and T loops). Lineage: Eukaryota; Viridiplantae; Streptophyta; Magnoliopsida; Malvales; Malvaceae. The record is from Rfam by way of RNAcentral.